Molecule: ribosomal RNA, 199 nt
Filed under: uncultured bacterium
Lineage: Bacteria
Description: partial 16S ribosomal RNA
Rfam family: Bacterial small subunit ribosomal RNA
Source: RNAcentral
CGGAUUGGAGUCUGNAACCCGACUCCAUGAAGCUGGAUUCGCUAGUAAUCGCGCAUCAGCCACGGCGCGGUGAAUACGUUCCCGGGCCUUGUACACACCGCCCGUCAAGCCAUGGAAGCCGGGGGUGCCUGAAGUGCGCUGCCGCAAGGAGCGCCCUAGGGUAAAACCGGUGACUGGGGCUAAGUCGUAACAAGGUAAC